GAUGAACGCUGGCGGCGUGCCUAAUACAUGCCAGUCGAGCGAACAGACGAGGAGCUUGCUCCUUUGACGUUAGCGGCGGACGGGGGGGUAAAAGGUGGGUAACUAACUUUUAAAACGGGGAAAAUUUCGGGAAACGGAGGCUAAAACGGAUAAAAAUUUCAAACCCAAGGGUUCAUUGGUGAAAAAGGGCUUGUCUUCACUUUUAAAAGGGACCUCCGCCUUUUUCGCUUGUGGUUAAGGUAACGGGUUACCAAGGCAACGUUGCGUAGCCGACCUGAGAGGGUGAUCGGCCACACUGGAACUGAGACACGGUCCAGACUCCUACGGGAGGCAGCAGUAGGGAAUCUUCCGCAAUGGGCGAAAGCCUGACGGAGCAACGCCGCGUGAGUGAUGAAGGUCUUCGGAUCGUAAAACUCUGUUAUUAGGGAAGAACAAACGUGUAAGUAACUGUGCACGUCUUGACGGUACCUAAUCAGAAAGCCACGGCUAACUACGUG
This 497-nucleotide ribosomal RNA is filed under the name uncultured bacterium. RNAcentral's name for it is "partial 16S ribosomal RNA". It matches the Rfam family "Bacterial small subunit ribosomal RNA", at positions 28 to 507 of the family's 1533-position model. The record is from RNAcentral.